CCUACGGGUGGCAGCAGUGGGGAAUAUUGGGCAAUGGGCGCAAGCCUGACCCAGCAACGCCGCGUGAAGGAAGAAGGCUUUCGGGUUGUAAACUUCUUUUCUCAGGGACGAAGCAAGUGACGGUACAUGAGGAAUAAGCCACGGCGAACUACGUGCCAGCAGCCGCGGUAAUACGUAGGUGGCAAGCGUUAUCCGGAUUUACGGGGUGUAAAGGCAGUGUAGGCGGGAAAGCAAGUCAGAUGUGAAACCCAUGGGCUCAACCUGUGACCUGCAUUUGAAACUGUGUUUCUUGAGUGCUGGAGAGGCAGACGGAAUUCCUAGUGUAGCGGUGAAAUGCGUAGAUAUUAGGAGGAACACCAGUGGCGAAGGCGGCUUACUGGACUGUAACUGACGUUGAGGCUCGAAAGCGUGGGGAGCAAACAGGAUUAGAUACCCGUGUAGUC
This 443-nucleotide ribosomal RNA is filed under the name uncultured bacterium. RNAcentral describes it as "partial 16S ribosomal RNA". It matches the Rfam family "Bacterial small subunit ribosomal RNA", at positions 338 to 795 of the family's 1533-position model. The record is from RNAcentral.